UACGGAGGAUCCGAGCGUUAUCCGGAUUUACUGGGUUUAAAGGGAGCGUAGGCGGCGCGGUAAGUCAGAUGUGAAAUCCCGGGGCUCAACCCCGGAACUGCAUCCGAUACUGCCGUGCUAGAGUAAUGGAGGGGUAGCUGGAAUUCUCGGUGUAGCAGUGAAAUGCGUAGAUAUCGAGAGGAACACUCGUGGCGAAAGCGAGCUACUGGACAUUUACUGACGCUGAGGCUCGAAGGCUAGGGGAGCGAAAGGG
Molecule: ribosomal RNA, 253 nt
Filed under: uncultured bacterium
Lineage: Bacteria
Description: partial 16S ribosomal RNA
Rfam family: Bacterial small subunit ribosomal RNA
Source: RNAcentral